AUGAGGCCACGCGUGCCUACGAGGUGGCGGUGUGGCAUGCCGGACGGCCGAAAAUGGACCUCAACUUCCCAGAGGUCGAGUCCCAGGCGGUGGCGGAGUGGCUCGUGCCGCAAGGCAUCCAGAUGGAGGAGAUGCCCGCGAAGAAGGCGAAGAAGAGACCGGGUUGUCGUCGCUCCUGGCGAGAGCGACGAGGUAGCAAUGGCUCGGUUUGCGCGAGAGCAUCCGCAGUAUGUCCAGGCCAAGCUGGAGCACUACUGGAAGCGCGAUGUCGAGGUGAAAAAGAAGGGGGUGAAGAAUGAGGACGAGGCCGGCCCCUCGACUGUGAUCCCUAUCGAGUCGUCGGAUGAGGACUGGGGUGACUCCUAG
RNAcentral lists this ribosomal RNA (366 nucleotides) under Triticum aestivum (bread wheat). RNAcentral describes it as "partial small subunit ribosomal RNA". Lineage: Eukaryota; Viridiplantae; Streptophyta; Magnoliopsida; Poales; Poaceae. The record is from RNAcentral.